UGCACAUGAUGCCGUUCUCUCACGAUGGUCUUCCAAGCCUCGCGGUGAAGGGGCUUUGACGACGAUGCCACACGGCUUUGCUGAUGCCCGGCA
This 93-nucleotide small nucleolar RNA is filed under the name Tauraco erythrolophus (red-crested turaco). Its description in RNAcentral is "Small nucleolar RNA SNORD35". It matches the Rfam family "Small nucleolar RNA SNORD35". Rfam says of the family: U35 is a C/D box snoRNA located in intron 6 of ribosomal protein L13A and intron 3 of ribosomal protein S11 in humans and at homologous positions in mouse and chicken ribosomal protein genes. U35 guides the methylation of 2'-O-ribose sites in 28S rRNA. Lineage: Eukaryota; Metazoa; Chordata; Aves; Musophagiformes; Musophagidae. The record is from Rfam by way of RNAcentral.